This 330-nucleotide ribosomal RNA is filed under the name Triticum aestivum (bread wheat). Its description in RNAcentral is "partial small subunit ribosomal RNA". The record is from RNAcentral. Lineage: Eukaryota; Viridiplantae; Streptophyta; Magnoliopsida; Poales; Poaceae.
AUGGCGUCAGAUUAUCAAGUGGUUAUCAAGGACAUUGAUCAGGGAACUAGUGCCCCGUAUGGUGCAAUCAUCCAGGAGGUUAUAGCACGGAAAUUGUCUAUGACUAGUUGUCAUCUCAUGUAUGAAAGUAGAAACUGCAACUUUGAGGCACAUCACCUUGCAAAGCACGCUUCGUCUUUAGAUGUCGGUCGUCACAUUUGGCUAGGUAUGCCUUAUGAUCCAGUUAAUAUCUCUGUAAACAUUAUUUCUUUAGAUGUCGGUCGUCACAUUUGGCUAGGUAUGCCUUAUGAUCCAGUUAAUAUCUCUGUAAACAUUAUUUCAGAGAUUUAA